This 470-nucleotide ribosomal RNA is filed under the name uncultured Lactococcus sp. RNAcentral describes it as "bacterial SSU rRNA". It matches the Rfam family "Bacterial small subunit ribosomal RNA", at positions 1 to 477 of the family's 1533-position model. Lineage: Bacteria; Bacillati; Bacillota; Bacilli; Lactobacillales; Streptococcaceae. The record is from RNAcentral.
CGCCCUUAGAGUUUGAUCAUGGCUCAGGACGAACGCUGGCGGCGUGCCUAAUACAUGCAAGUUGAGCGUUGGUACUUGUACCAAGAGCAGCGAACGGGUGAGUAACGCGUGGGGAAUCUGCCUUUGAGCGGGGGACAACAUUUGGAAACGAAUGCUAAUACCGCAUAAAAACUUAACACAAGUUUAAGUUGAAAGAUGAUUGCAUCACUCAAAGAUGAUCCCGCGUUGUAUUAGCUAGUUGGUGAGGUAAAGGCUCACCAAGGCGAUGAUACAUAGCCGACCUGAGAGGGUGAUCGGCCACAUUGGGACUGAGACACGGCCCAAACUCCUACGGGAGGCAGCAGUAGGGAAUCUUCGGCAAUGGACGAAAGUCUGACCGAGCAACGCCGCGUGAGUGAAGAAGGUUUUCGGAUCGUAAAACUCUGUUGGUAGAGAAGAACGUUGAUGAGGAAACUCAUCAAGUGACGGUA